RNAcentral lists this ribosomal RNA (285 nucleotides) under uncultured bacterium. RNAcentral describes it as "partial 16S ribosomal RNA". It matches the Rfam family "Bacterial small subunit ribosomal RNA", at positions 333 to 634 of the family's 1533-position model. The record is from RNAcentral.
GCACCUACGGGACGCAGCAGUGGGGAAUAUUGGGCAAUGGGCGCAAGCCUGACCCAGCAACGCCGCGUGAAGGGAGAAGGCUUUCGGGUUGUAAACUUCUUUUAUCAGGGACGAAGCAAGUGACGGUACCUGAUGAAUAAGCCACGGCUAACUACGUGCCAGCAGCCGCGGUAAUACGUAGGUGGCAAGCGUUAUCCGGAUUUACUGGGUGUAAAGGGCGUGUAGGCGGGAGUGCAAGUCAGAUGUGAAAAUUAUGGGCUCAAACCAUAGCCUGCAUUUGAAAAU